AUCCAGCUGACGAGUCCUGAAUAGGACGAAAUGCGCAUCCUGGAU
Molecule: non-coding RNA, 45 nt
Filed under: Trichobilharzia regenti
Lineage: Eukaryota; Metazoa; Platyhelminthes; Trematoda; Strigeidida; Schistosomatidae
Source: RNAcentral